Molecule: unclassified non-coding RNA, 245 nt
Filed under: uncultured Sporormiaceae
Lineage: Eukaryota; Fungi; Ascomycota; Dothideomycetes; Pleosporales; Sporormiaceae
Description: sequence contains ITS2
Source: RNAcentral
AACGCACAUUGCGCCCUUUGGUAUUCCUUAGGGCAUGCCUGUUCGAGCGUCAUCUACACCCUCAAGCACAGCUUGGUGUUGGGUGCCUGUCCCGCCCCGCGCGUGGACUCACCUCAAAUCCAUUGGCGGCCCCGCGUCGGCUCCGAGCGCAGCAGAAACGCGAACUCGUGCCCGGCGCGGUGGCUCCCAGAAGCUACACCCACCAUUUUGACCUCGGAUCAGGUAGGGAUACCCGCUGAACUUAA